Long non-coding RNA from Lolium perenne, 487 nucleotides. RefSeq lists it as uncharacterized. The record is from RefSeq and is a predicted model, not a curated record. NCBI's taxonomy places the organism in Eukaryota, Viridiplantae, Streptophyta, Magnoliopsida, Poales, Poaceae.
UUUUGCUUUCUCUCCGUGACACUACUGACACCACCUCUCAUCCUCCGAGGACGCAGGCAGUGGAAUCCGUGAACAACAUCACAUUCUAUGGGUAAGGUUCGUCUACAGUGCUAAUUUUGUUUCAGUUUCAUCCUUUUGGUGAGGGUUUGACCAGCAAGAAGAUAACGAGUUUUGGAGAUGGAACAUUUCAGAGUCUUGAUCACUCCGCCUGCGCCUCGCCCUGUCCCUUGACCCAUGGAGAGAGCCGUGAGUCCGAGUCCUGCCGACACUCGUCGCAGCUGUGAUGAUAUUCUCGGCGGUUUAGUAUGUGUUUUGCCGGUGAUCGAGGUGACCGGUGUAUGUGUCUGUAUAAAUGUGUGAUACAUUUUUGUUUAUGUGUGGAUAUGGUUGUUUAUGUGUGUGUAUGGAUAUGUGAUACAUUUUGUCGAUGUAUAGAUAUGGAUAUGCCGGUGUAUGAUGACAUAUUGACUAUGUAUGUGUGAUUUUA